This 525-nucleotide non-coding RNA is filed under the name Pan troglodytes (chimpanzee). The record is from RNAcentral. Lineage: Eukaryota; Metazoa; Chordata; Mammalia; Primates; Hominidae.
GAGCCAUGCUAUUGCUUUAGAGAAGCUUCUCCUUGUCAUCUGCUCCCUAGCCUGGAUAACACAUGGAACACUUGAAACAGAAUAUCUAGCUGAGCCCCAGACCUGAAUACAACAUGUUUAAGACCACAGAACAUCUGCAUAGGCUGUAAAUUUCGUUAAAUGAUGGAUGCAAAGAUGGAAGACAGAUGGAUAGAGAAAAAGACAGAAUCAGAUACUGGAUGAGUUAGUACUGCUGCUUGUGCUUCAGAGCUGUCUUAUUACCACAAGGCCGGCAAGCAUCAAUGUCCCCACAUCCCCCUCUGCCUCCCCCUGAAAUGUACCGAUUUAUAUGAAAAUUAAGAUUACAAAUUAAAGCCUGGCUAUCCUGGAGUUUUCCAGUUCAUCAGCCAUCCAAUAAAAAUGAUGUCAAGCCUGUAUGCAUAAUUCCCGGAAGAUUACUUUCGUCCUUACAGCUAAGCCCUGUCCCUGAUAUGAAAGAUCUCUAUCCACUUUUAUUGAAAUAAAGAACUAACAUCAUAAUCCCAA